RNAcentral lists this ribosomal RNA (444 nucleotides) under Brachyspira pilosicoli. RNAcentral's name for it is "bacterial SSU rRNA". It matches the Rfam family "Bacterial small subunit ribosomal RNA", at positions 37 to 501 of the family's 1533-position model. The record is from RNAcentral. Lineage: Bacteria; Pseudomonadati; Spirochaetota; Spirochaetia; Brachyspirales; Brachyspiraceae.
UUGGCGAUGCGUCUUAAGCAUGCAAGUCGAGCGGGCUUAUUCGGGCAACUGGAUAAGUUAGCGGCGAACUGGUGAGUAACACGUAGGUAAUCUGCCGUGAAGUGGGGGAUAACCCAUGGAAACAUGGACUAAUACCGCAUAUACUCUUGCUACAUAAGUAGAGUAGAGGAAAGUUUUUUCGCUUCACGAUGAGCCUGCGGCCUAUUAGCCUGUUGGUAGGGUAAUGGCCUACCAAAGCUACGAUAGGUAGCCGACCUGAGAGGGUGACCGGCCACAUUGGGACUGAGAUACGGCCCAGACUCCUACGGGAGGCAGCAGCUGAGAAUCUUCCACAAUGGACGAAAGUCUGAUGGAAAACAUCGCGUGAGGGAUGAAGGCCUUCGGGUUGUAAACCUCAAAUUAUCGAAGAAUGAGUGACAGUAGAUAAUGUAAGCCUCGGCAAGC